RNAcentral lists this transfer RNA (71 nucleotides) under Caudoviricetes sp. RNAcentral's name for it is "tRNA-OTHER". It matches the Rfam family "tRNA". From Rfam's summary of the family: Transfer RNA (tRNA) molecules are approximately 80 nucleotides in length. Their secondary structure includes four short double-helical elements and three loops (D, anti-codon, and T loops). Further hydrogen bonds mediate the characteristic L-shaped molecular structure. tRNAs have two regions of fundamental functional importance: the anti-codon, which is responsible for specific mRNA codon recognition, and the 3' end, to which the tRNAs corresponding amino acid is attached (by aminoacyl-tRNA synthetases). tRNAs cope with the degeneracy of the genetic code in two manners: having more than one tRNA (with a specific anti-codon) for a particular amino acid; and 'wobble' base-pairing, i.e. permitting non-standard base-pairing at the 3rd anti-codon position. The record is from RNAcentral. Lineage: Duplodnaviria; Heunggongvirae; Uroviricota; Caudoviricetes.
UGGAAUAUAGUUCAGUGGUAGAACAACGGUCUAUACACCGUGUGUCCCGGGUUCGAUUCCUGGUAUUCCGA